UUUAAGAUGAAAUUUCUUUACUCAAGAAUUUUAAAAUGAAACGAAUAAACAAAAGACUGCUGAAUCUUAUGUCAAAGACAGUGAAUAUUCUGAAGAUGUCAUCGUAUUCAUUGGAGAAGACGCCUUACGAAAAUUUCGAUAAAAUUGUGCAAAGCAUUUUCAUCAAAAGUGAAUCAUGAGCGCCGACGAUGACGUUGAUAACGUUGAUCAACAAGAAUUAGACAGUGUUUUAUGUACUGAACAAGUUACAACCGAUUGUUGAAAUUCAUAUUCCAUUGGAAUCCUACAGUGGCAGUACGGCCUCAAGAACGAACGAUUUGUCUCUGAAUCGAGAUAGUAAAUAUCAAUAUGCUGUCCUGUUGAAUUGCUAGAAAUCCUACGGAGAGGAAUCCAAUCAAGUUGAUGAUGCCAAUUCACUUCAGGAAACAAAUCAAGAUGAACUAAAUGGACUUGAAUUAAUAGACCUUGAGGUCAGCAAUUUCUUUGAGGACAGCAGGCAGAAUAUGGACUGUCAUCUGGAUUUUAUGUCGGUUCCUCCAGAACUUUGAUGACUGUAAUUUGCUAUGGCAUGUCGAAAUACAAUUUGUCUUUUUACAACCAUUGAAAUUUUUACAAUGAUCAUAAAUAUUACAUCCAUAUGCAAUUGUUUAGCAAACUCAA
Xenia sp. Carnegie-2017 is the source of this 660-nucleotide long non-coding RNA. RefSeq lists it as uncharacterized. The transcript is spliced from 5 exons. The record is from RefSeq and is a predicted model, not a curated record. Lineage: Eukaryota; Metazoa; Cnidaria; Anthozoa; Malacalcyonacea; Xeniidae.